GUGGGGAAUAUUGGACAAUGGGCGAAAGCCUGAUCCAGCAAUGCCGCGUGAGUGAUGAAGGCCCUAGGGUUGUAAAGCUCUUUCACCGAUGAAGAUAAUGACGGUAGUCGGAGAAGAAGCCCCGGCUAACUUCGUGCCAGCAGCCGCGGUAAUACGAAGGGGGCUAGCGUUGUUCGGAAUUACUGGGCGUAAAGCGCACGUAGGCGGACAUUUAAGUCAGGGGUGAAAUCCCAGAGCUCAACUCUGGAACUGCCUUUGAUACUGGGUGUCUUGAGUAUGGAAGAGGUAAGUGGAAUUCCGAGUGUAGAGGUGAAAUUCGUAGAUAUUCGGAGGAACACCAGUGGCGAAGGCGGCUUACUGGUCCAUUACUGACGCUGAGGUGCGAAAGCGUGGGGAGCAAACAGGAUUAGAAACCCCUGUAGUCC
Molecule: ribosomal RNA, 425 nt
Filed under: uncultured bacterium
Lineage: Bacteria
Description: partial 16S ribosomal RNA
Rfam family: Bacterial small subunit ribosomal RNA
Source: RNAcentral